GGGGCCGUAGCUCAAUGGCAGAGCGCACCCUUCGCAUGGGUGAGGUUGUGGGUUCGACUCCCAUCGGCUCCACCA
This 75-nucleotide transfer RNA is filed under the name Ignavibacteria bacterium. Its description in RNAcentral is "tRNA-Ala". It matches the Rfam family "tRNA". Rfam says of the family: Transfer RNA (tRNA) molecules are approximately 80 nucleotides in length. Their secondary structure includes four short double-helical elements and three loops (D, anti-codon, and T loops). Lineage: Bacteria; Pseudomonadati; Ignavibacteriota; Ignavibacteria. The record is from RNAcentral.